RNAcentral lists this non-coding RNA (31 nucleotides) under Homo sapiens (human). Lineage: Eukaryota; Metazoa; Chordata; Mammalia; Primates; Hominidae. The record is from RNAcentral.
UGGUGUGGGAUUCUUCCCUGAUUCUGAAUGC